CAGCCCGCCGAAGCCUUGUACCUAGCAGUCCGCCUCCGGGCGGGCGACAUCCGCCUGUUGCUGGAAAUCGCCUUCCUCCGGGUAGGUCAACCAGCUGCUGCAUGCCCGUGCAGUCCACAGAUCAAACGCGGGUGGCCUGCGCCCCAGGGAACACCCCCGGGGUCGCUGGUUAAGAUAUGACCGUAGCAGCUCUGCGAAGGUGCUGACCACUAGUUCCGUAGGCGAACCUGCGGAAGGAUCAUUACCGAGA
Molecule: unclassified non-coding RNA, 250 nt
Filed under: plant metagenome
Description: partial contains small subunit ribosomal RNA, internal transcribed spacer 1, and 5.8S ribosomal RNA
Source: RNAcentral